CAAUAGCGUAUAUUUAAGUUGUUGCAGUUAAAAAGCUCGUAGUUGGAUUUUGGGUCGGGGGCACCGGUCCGCCGUUCCGGUGUGCACUGGUGGCCCCUUCCUUUCUGCCGGGGACGUGCGUCGCACUUAAUUGGGUGGCGUUCGGAGUCGGCGUUGUUACUUUGAAAAAAUUAGAGUGUUCAAAGCAAGCCAUCGCUCUGAAUACAUUAGCAUGGAAUAACGUGAUAGGACUCCGGUCUUAUUUUGUUGGUUUCCGAGACUGGAGUAAUGAUUAAGAGGGACAGUCGGGGGCAUCCGUAUUUCAUUGUCAGAGGUGAAAUUCUUGGAUUUAUGAAAGACGAACUUCUGCGAAAGCAUUUGCCAAGGAUGUUUUCAUUAA
This 379-nucleotide ribosomal RNA is filed under the name uncultured eukaryote. Its description in RNAcentral is "partial 18S ribosomal RNA". It matches the Rfam family "Eukaryotic small subunit ribosomal RNA", at positions 592 to 976 of the family's 1831-position model. The record is from RNAcentral.